Molecule: non-coding RNA, 1751 nt
Organism: Anas platyrhynchos (mallard)
Lineage: Eukaryota; Metazoa; Chordata; Aves; Anseriformes; Anatidae
Source: RefSeq, a predicted model, not a curated record
UCAUCUCUUUCCCCUUCACAUGCAGAUAGUAGCAUUUGUCUGAGGUGCUAAGUGACAAAGGAACUUUUUAGCUGUUGAAGACCGGGCUGAAAGGAAGAGUAAUAGGGUUUGUGUAUUGUCCCGGGGUUCACCUUAGCACCAGUGGAAGUGAUUAGUGGCCGCUGCUCCUCCUGAAGAGACACCAAAACGAUGGAGCAGGUGGUACCCGGCCAGCCCAUCACCACGAAGGUGGCCCAGGGGGGCUGUGAUCAUGGCCCAACCUUUCCCCAAGGCAGCGAUCCUGCGGGACGGAGCUGGGUUGCUAUCCCCAGGAGGCCUCGGAGCAGCACUCCCUCCUGCAUCCUCGCCGUGAGCCACACGAAGGACGAGAGGUUGGCCAGGAUGAGUGCUUCCCAAGGCAGCAUUCCCCACCAGCCACUGUGGGACGCGAGUCCUCCUUUCCGAAUCGAGCUCAGGAACUAAUUACGAUGCUGUAGCAGCUUCGGCUUUUGAAAGUGUUACUAAUCACCCAGCACUAAAUGCGACGCAGCUUUGCAGAAGUGCUCCUGGGGUCAGGUUUCGGAGGGCAGACGUCAACGCGAAGGUGCAGCAAAGUGGAGGUAACUCCUUCAGCUGUACGCCGAGCUGGGCGGGCGAGGGAGAAGGAGAAAACUACUCGCUGGGGUUUUUUUAGACGUGACAUUUCAGUGAUGUACCAACAGAGGAAAUUUUGCUUGCAGAAUCCUGUGAGCAAAACACUUCUGAGAAUGUAUGUAUACAAUUGUUUAAAAAAACACAGGGUUACUGACACAGAUGCCAAUUUGGUAGGGCAUAUGGAACAUUUACACUUGCCUUUUUCAUUCUUUCUUGCUACAGCUGGUACUGAUUUAGUAUGUGAAAUUUUACUAGCAGGAGUGCUAAUCAAGACAGAGAUUUCUGUGAGGAUUUAGUCAUUUAUGUGGAGGAAAACUAUGGGUAUCAUUAAAAAGUACAAGAUCAUCUAUGAGAGAAACAUUAUCAUUAGCAUCCUACAUUUUAAAGAGGAAAAAAAAAGUACUGUAUCACUUGAGCAGCAGUGGCAGAAAUUAUUUUCUUGAAGUGUUCAGUCAUGUCACCUCUCAAAGUUUGGGGGAAGAAAAAUUGAAAUUUACUUAAAAAAAAAAAAAAAAAAAAAAAAGGAAGGAAAUAAACAUACAAACAACAGCAAGAGUUGUUCCAAGCGGCUUUGUAAGCAGUGUGCUAGCCUGCUCUGUAACAUCAAAUGGAUAUGGCUAGGAAUGGGAUCACAACCAAAAAAACCAUCCAGAUCCUGGAUCUGUGUUUGAAUCUGAAGCCUCCAUUCAAACCCAACUUGGUGAUGGUGACACUUCAUGUCACCAUCGCGAUGUUGGGUCCAGCAGUGCUCCACAUCUAUAAUGCACAGUUUGUCAAAGUUCCCUUUUGGUGGUUGGUUUUCCUUUUUUCUUUUUCUUUUCCUUUUCCUUUUUUUUUUUUUUUUUCCCAGCAAUUGUGAUCUGGGAUGGAGAUGUUCAGACCUUAAAUACCAAUUCUGGCCAAUUUCUGCCGGCGACAAGAAAUACUAUAUUCCAUUAAGAAGGCAACGAGCGUGCAUUACGUAUCCAAAGAGGCGAUUUUACAUUACACACAGUGUAAAAAAUUAUGCUCGGGUUUAACUGCCAUUUCCUGCCAAGAUGAUUCCAGUGCAAACAGCAACAGAGCAAGUGCUGUGUGCUAAAUAUGCUGUACAGGUGGCUGGGUGAUACGGGAGACCU